RNA transcript from Mercenaria mercenaria, 7427 nucleotides. It is a transcript of the gene named coiled-coil domain-containing protein 181-like, with no coding region annotated. Lineage: Eukaryota; Metazoa; Mollusca; Bivalvia; Venerida; Veneridae. The record is from RefSeq and is a predicted model, not a curated record. The transcript is spliced from 8 exons.
GUUUCAAAUUGAAUUUUGGAAUUCGAAACUAACAAGGCCAAUUAGAUAGCAUCAUUGCCAAGUGACGGAUCCAAACAAUUCUGUGUAAAAUUUAGGUCGAUGAAAAAUAUGGCUUCUUGACACAAGUAUUUAAACUGAACACUUCAAAAUGAUGUCGGUAUCAAAGGCAGAAACUGAUCUGGAUGAUUUUGAAAAGGAGUUGAACUCUUAUAUUGAAAGUGAAGAAAAAAACAAAAAAGAGAAAGAGAACCAAAACACGAUGGAAAAAGACAAAGAUAAAACGGGGGAGGGUAAGUCGAGCUCUGAGACACUUCCUGUACGGGAGCAGAGUGAUAACGAAGACUCUGAGGUAGAUGACUAUAAUCUAACAGAGGAUCAAAAACGUGCAUUGGAGGAACUAGAUAAUCUCAAAACAGAAAUGGGCUGCCUACCUGAUGAGGACCCCCCAGAAUAUGAUGUUACUGAACGUCUCAAAAUUUUAAAUGAGGAACUUAAAAAUGAUCCAACUCCUGUUGAAAAACAGAAUGAAUCUAAAGUAGUUUUUAAGUCAAAUCUUAUUGAUUUGGUGGCUCCACCACCUGACUUUAGCGAUGAAGAAGGUGAAGAUAAAAAACAAAAUAGUCCAAAGUCAACUAAAACUACAAGUCCUCCUAAAAAACAAACUGAAGAUAAAGUUGAUGACAAUUCAGAAACCAUUUCUACCAGCAAAAAAUCAAAUUCAGGCAAAAAAGAUGAAGUGUUGAUAGAAAUUGAUGGACAGUUUCAAUUAGUAAGUGCUGAUGAUGUACGUGCCAGGGAUUUAGGAUAUACAAUGGACCAUGACAACAAUAAGGAGAAUGAGAAGAAACAGAAUGAGAAAAAUAAAGGGAAGCUACAACCUGCACCACCAGGGAAGCCAAGACCAGCUACAGCCUCUGCCAGUUCACGACGUAGCGUUCGGACAACACCAGUCAAACAACGCCCACAGUCUGCACAUGGGGCAACUGAUCAUGGGUCAGCAAUUAAUAACUUUGAUUACAAUUCUCCAUAUGCUUUAUCGCCAAGAGAAAAACAAUUAAUGGAAGAGAGAAAGAAAGCUCAUGAAAAACAAAGGCAAGAGAGUGAAAGAAGAAGGAAGGAAGAAGAACAGAAUAAGGAAAAAGAGAAUCAGGAAGCAUUUGAAUUCUGGUUAAAGAAGAAACGAGAAAAUGACAGACGAAGAAAAAUACAAGAAGAAGAAGAUAGGAAAACGAAUGCAAAAGAAGAUAGGCAAAGAAUCCGAGAUUUUGAGAAAAACAAGGCAUUUGCGACAUAUGAUAUUCUCUACUAUAAGAAGGAAGAGAAUGAAGAAGCUUUUAAGCAGUGGUUACAGGAGAAACAAGGACAGUUCAAGAAAGAGAAGCUACUGAAACGCCGCCAGGAUCAAGAGAUGCACGAGGGUUACUAUGUCAGAAGUAGAGAAGAAUGUGAAAAAGCUUAUAAACAGUGGUUAAAACAUAAAGCAAUAGAAGCAAGGAAGGCGAGGGCUGCAGAAAGGAACAAAGCUAAACUACAACGGUUAGCUGCACGGAGAUCUCGAAAAUCUAUCUCACUGUCUAAGUCAAUAAGAGAGGCACAGUCAUUUCGAUAUGUUGAUUACUAUGGGUACAGAUUCUAACAAUUAUCCAUAGUAACAUAAACUUUACAAACAAAAGGGGCAGCUUGCCAUUUUCAAACACCCACCAGCAUACCUGCUAAUGCUUUCGGUAUGAGAGAAGCAGCUCCACUGCAUGAUUUAUUUGACAGACGACAGCAGUUUAUUUCUAUUUUAUUGACUCAAAAUAUAAUGUAUAACAUCAUUUAAGAAAAAACUAUAAGCUGGAAGCCUAGUUUGAUAGAUGUAAAUAUCUGCUUUUUUCCAAGAGCAGUGUUCUGACAGUCAUUUCGAAACUUUUUUGUCUUGAGUCGAUUAGUUGAGACCUGAGUGUUUACCAGUUUAUGCAAAGGUAUAAGCAACCAAAACAUUUAUACUGAUUACAGUUUCAGAAAAUUUCUUUGAGGUUUUAGGGAGAAAUCCAAAAUGUUUGCAGAAUUAUGAAUGUUUUGUUUGCAGAAAUGUACAAGAAAAUUGAAGGAAUUGUAUGAUAAAUUAGCAGGUAUGAAAUGUUUGGGUGACAUUUUGAAUAGGUAACCAAAAUCACAUGUAGCUUUAGUCGGGUUUGUUAUAUACAUGUAGUGAAUGUUGAGAGAUAAAAUAGUGUGUCUAGCAUUAUUCAGAUUCUAGAUACACCAGUCUUGCAUACACAGAUAGUGUUUGAGUCAUUCUGUAGAUAUUACUCAUUAUACUGGGUCUGCAUGCAUCUGCUGGUCUCAAUAUGAAAUUUAUAGAAUUCAAAAUGGCAAAAUUUCUUUUCGCAUAUAUUUGUAAUUUUGAAAUAUUUCAUUGAAACUUGUCAUGAAUAUAGCACUUGCUUAAACAAAAGGCUAUCUGUGCAAGUUUCAACAAAAUUUAUGCCUUUUUGAGUACAAGUCUGAAUAUGAGUUUCAAACUAAGUUGAUGAAUGCAGGCCCUGUACACCGUCAGUCACUGAAACCUCCGAGAAAUUGUAGUGUUCAAAUGUUUGUUUGUCUGUGUGUUUUGUCUUAUCAUACUCUUAGACAUGUUGAUUGGUUUAUAAAAAAAAAUAUUUUCAUUGAGAUAAAAAUGUAAUUAUGUUCUGUCAAAAUACCUGAUACAGAUGAAUUAUGCCACAAACAUGUCGCUACGCAAGGAUGUGUAAAAUUGUGACUUUUUCGAUAUGCCUCAAAAGUGUUCUAAUUAGAAAUUAAAAACUUGUAUGUAAGAAGGACAUUAAAUCUUGUGGUAAACUGUACUCCUUUUAUUGUGAUGGAUAAAUAGAUUUCACAUGAAUGUGAAAGUAUUUGAAUUAAUGUAGUUGUUUUCUUAAGUACAUUGUACAUGUAAUUACAUUAGCUUAUACUGAACAGUCAAUAUGGUUUUGACCAAAGCAUCAACUUUCUUUAUGAUAAAAAUUCAUAGAUUUCCACUGCUUAAGAUAAAAUAAGUAAGCAUUUUAUUUGUUGAUUUGUAUUUAAUUUCAUGGAUUGAUGCAGCCACAGAACCUACUAAAGUAGUCCCAACAAAAAAGUAGUACCCAAUGAAUAAGAUUUUCCAGAAGUUUUCUUUUGUACAGAUGUUUCAACAGAAGUUCUUGUAUAUAUAAAAAUAACAGACAUCUAAUAUUUGUUGUAACAAGAAUCUUACUAAUCCGAAUACAAUGAAUUCCGUCCAUUCACAGUACUUUAUUCAAGUGUUUAUUAUUCUUUUCAUUUUUCUUAUACGUGUAUACAAAAUGAUUGAUUUGAUAGUUGUGUUUACAUUAAUAAGAUGACAUUCCAAUUUUAGUGUUAAAAUGGCAUUUACAUGUUUAUCAAUAAUUUUAAUAUCCCUCUGUAUUUGUUUUCAAGUUUAUAUAUACAUACAAAAUUUAUUAUAUAAUUAUGUAUUGAUGGUCUCAAUUUAAAAUGCUGAGCCUAGUAUUUUUUUGCAAUUUCCGAUUUUUUAAGCACCAUUAAGCAGAGGAAUUCUAUUACUAUAUUUCUUGAAAUUUACAUCAUCACUGAUCUGUCAAGAAAAACUUAAUUCAGUCAUGUGAUAAAUUGUUGAAUCACGAUUUGUGGAGAAAAAUAUGUUAAAAAAAAACAAAAUUGUAACUUCCGCAUCAAAUAAGCAAUACAUAAGAAGAAAUUGGUUUUAGCAUCAUUUUGGGAAAAUAUAAUUUGCUUCUCUUGAAAAAUUUAGGUGUUGUAGGUUUUUCAUUUUAAUUGCAGACCAUCAAAAUGUAAAUUAGACCACAACAGUUGGAUGUCAGGGAGUUUGUUAUGUUUUGUACUGUUCAGUUUAGAUUUUACAUGUUAGAAAUUGAAAUGUUGCUGUAGAGACUAUGCUCUCUUAACAUGAAAAAUUAUGGGUUUUUUUUUUUGUUUUUUAUGCAAAAUUCAAGUUUAUGCCAACUUUUUGGUGGGAUGGAAAAAUGUGUAGGAAAUGUAGAGGAUUGUGAAUAUUUGAAGUACUAUUGGUACAUGUACUUUUUCAAAUCAAAAUUAGCUGCAUCACAUACCUUACACAUACUAAUUGUCAAUGAAUUAUUAACUCAUUAAUGCAGUUUGGCAAUUUAAUUUAAACCUUUAAGUCUUGGGUUUAUUCAACUUUAAGCAGAGACAAUUAUAUUCAGAUUAUGUAGUGGUUUUCUAUUUAUUAACAAGUGAAUGUUUUAGCUACAUUUUUAUUGGCAUACCACACUUAAGUGGUAUAAUGUCAUACCACAGGAAUAUAACAUACUACAAUAAUGCUGCAUUAUGACAUAUCUUGCUACCAUGAUGUACCACACUUAUGUGGCAUAAUGACAAACCACAUUAAUGCACAUAAUGACAUACCACACUAAUGUGGCAUAAUGUCAUACGACACUGAUGCCACAUAAUGACAUACCACAUUAAUGCCUCUUGAUGUCAUACUACAUGAAUGUGGCAUAAUGUCAUACCACACUGAAGCCACAUAAUGACAUACUACACUAAUGCCACAUAAUGAUGUACCACACUAAUGCCACAUAAUGACGUACAACACAAAUGCGGCAUGACAUACCACACUAAUGCGGCAUAAUGACAUAUUACACUGAUGCCACAUAAUGACAUACCACACUAAUGCCUCUUGAUGUCAUACCACAUGAAUGUGGCAUAAUGUCAUACCACACUAAUGCAGCAUAAUGUCAAACUACACUGAUACCACUCUAAUGCGGGUACAUACUUAGUUAUAGAUCUGACUUAUUGUGAUUUUUAACACUGUGUUUUAAUAGAUUAGUUUUUAUGACUCGUGUAAAAAAAAAAAGAGAAAGAAAUUAGGCCUGUGAUAAGUACUUGUGGAUAUCAUGCCAGACUGGAAUAUUCUGAGGUUGUUGGGAAAUUUACUCUGUUCAGCAUAGCAAUUAUUGGCUGUUAAUGGCCGCACAGUUUUAUUUGUGAAAAAAAAAAGCAUUCCUUAUCAACAAAUCAAAAUUUGAUGCAUUGCGCAUUAUUUAUUAUAUACAAUCAUGUGAUAUGUAAUUAAAGUUUACUACUGAUCCAUGCUGUUUGCUUUCAAAGCCUAUUACAAUUAGAGAACCCGUUAGCGAACAGCAUGGAUCCUGACCAGACUGCGCGGAUGCGCAGGCUGGUCUGGAUCCUUGCUGGUCGCAUACCCACUAUGUUGGUUUUCUCAUGGCACGGCUCAUUUAAUCUAGAUUUAUAUCAUGCUAUUUGCAAGUUUGUUUUAUACAUGUGAGCAUAAAACUGUAAUGUGUAAAUUUUGAAUAUUACGAUAUUUGAGAGGUUUGGACAUUUGAGAGCUUUCAAAAUUUGAGAGGUUUUUUAUUUGUGUGUUAUCAUGUUAAGAAGGAUCCUUUUUUAAAUAAAAGUCACAUUUUUCUGGGAAUAAAUAUUUAUUUGAAGUUUUCCCCACAGGCAGAUAUUUAGUGGUUCCUGUUCAAAAUACAAAUGGACAGAAUUGUUUUCUUAAAUAAGAAAAAAUAACAUUGAUGAAUCUGUCGAAGUUAGGAAGAAAAAAAAUCAAAUGUUCCUUUUUGACUUGAUGGCACAUAUGAGCCGUGCCAUGAGAAAACCAACAUAGUGGGUUUGCGACCAGCAUGGAUCCAGACCAGCCUGCUCAUCCGCGCAGUCUGGUCAGGCUCCAUGCUGUUCGCUUUUAAAGCCUAUUGGAAUUGGAGAAACUGUUAGCGAACAGCAUGGAUCCAGACCAGACUGCGCGGAUGUGCAGGCUGGUCUGGAUCCAUGCUGGUCGCAAAGCCACUAUGUUGGUUUUCUCAUGGCGCAGCUCAAAAUUUUGUUUAAAAAAGCAUGUUUUAAAAGGUAUUGUAUGUAAGCCUUCUCCUGCCAAGUUUUUCUGUGAUAGUUGUCAUAUAAAUGAAAUUAUUACACGAUUCUUUAUAAUAUAAAUCCCUGGUCCAUAGUUUGCUCUAUAUGACCAGUCUAUAUUCAGUCUGAAAGGUAAAAAAUUAAAUGUUGUGAAAAUUAAUUUCCAAUGUCAUGUAAUAGACACUUCUUGAAUGGCUUGCUGGUCAGUAGUCAAAGCUAUUAGCCCUUAGACCUCGGGCAAUACUUUUAACUAUUGACUGGCAAGCCAUUCAGUACUGCUAAGUGUAUUAUAAUAUCAACAUAUCGCUAGCCUUGUGGCAGAUGAUGCACCACUGUAACGUUGUGCUUCUUCAUUAAUGACUCACAAAAAUUGUCGUCUACAUCAAACUUCGUUUGACUUUCCUCUGUUACAUGUACUUUUUCCCUAAAACAUUGAUUCUAUUUCAUGGUUUCCGGUUGUCUACUGAAAUAAUUGUAGAUAAUAUUCUUUAUUCUGUCACCAACAUUUCAUCAACAUUUUCAUUUACUGAUUAAAAUUAUUUUCAGUAAAGUGAGUUUUUACUAGAACACAAAAAUAUGUGUCCUUUCUAACUUAAAAGUGAAAAUUUCAUGGAAAUGUAUAACUUUUUGAUAUAAAUCUUGCGAUGCCAUGAUAUUAUUUGUGACAUUACAGGAUUAAAAUUUCUGUUUGAUCCAUGUAAUCUGUAAGUUUUUCAGGAAGGGGGACUUUAUUUUGUCAGAUCUUGUUACAUCAUUAUAAACUUCUCUGAGAGUGGUAGUAGGAUCGAUAUACAUUUGUGAAAUAUGUUAAACAAUGUCUAUUUUAUGGCUAAAUAUGUAUUGUCCCAUUUUAGAAACUGGGCAAAAUUACAAUUUCGAAAAAGAUUAAAAAUGUUUUAAACAUUAUAUCAAAAGUUUGCACAUAAAUUUUGUUUAUUUAAAUAAAUGCUAAGAUACCCUGUAAGUCUUAUUUUAAGAUGUCCGAAAUUUAUGAUGAAAAAUAUCACACCUGAAUUGUUUGUUGAUUAAUAAAAAUAUGAAAAAUUGAAAAAAUCCUAUUACCACACUUUGGGUUCUUUAGAUUGAUGUAUAAUCUCAAUGGUGUUGUCUUAUAUUUAAACUAUAGAAAAACCAUGCUCCGGAAAGUAUGGAUCAAACAGAAGGUUUAAACCAUUUAUGAGAAAAAGAAAAAUAGAAAAUGUUGUUUAUUUUACAUUAAAGAUCAAACUAUUUUAUUAGUGAACACCUGAUUUUAUACUGUUCCUUUUGAGGUAAAAAUAUGCAUGUGCUUGGUGUAUACUCAUUGAAAAAAAAUAUCACAUAUUUGAGUAGGCCUACUCAAGAAUAGAAACAUAAGUUGAAGAUUUUAUAUUGUAUGAUUUUUAAAACAAAUAUUAUGCUAAUAGUAUGAUUAUUUUGUUUUUGACAUAGUUAAUGUUUUCAUAUUUUAACAUAACGGUAGUUAUUUAGAAUUUUAAAAAUCAUGUACACCUUUUGUUGCUCUGACCAUAUUUUAUAUAUGUUCUCUUAUUAAAAUGUGCCAAUUAAAGAUGUAGAUCUUA